This 253-nucleotide ribosomal RNA is filed under the name uncultured bacterium. RNAcentral's name for it is "partial 16S ribosomal RNA". It matches the Rfam family "Bacterial small subunit ribosomal RNA", at positions 524 to 776 of the family's 1533-position model. The record is from RNAcentral.
UACGAAGGGGGCUAGCGUUGCUCGGAAUCACUGGGCGUAAAGGGUGCGUAGGCGGGUUUUUAAGUCAGAGGUGAAAUCCUGGAGCUCAACUCCAGAACUGCCUUUGAUACUGAGAAUCUUGAGUUCGGGAGAGGUGAGUGGAACUGCGAGUGUAGAGGUGAAAUUCGUAGAUAUCCGAAGGAACAUCAGUGGCGAAAGCGGCUUCCUGGACCAGAACUGACGAUCAGGCACGAAAGCGUGGGGAGCAAACAGG